RNAcentral lists this ribosomal RNA (305 nucleotides) under uncultured bacterium. RNAcentral's name for it is "bacterial SSU rRNA". It matches the Rfam family "Bacterial small subunit ribosomal RNA", at positions 335 to 658 of the family's 1533-position model. The record is from RNAcentral.
UCCCUACGGGGGGCAGCAGUGGGGGAUAUUGCACAAUGGGGGAAACCCUGAUGCAGCAACGCCGCGUGAGUGAAGAAGGUCUUCGGAUUGUAAAGCUCUGUUCUUGGUGAAGAUAAUGACGGUAGCCAAGGAGAAAGCUCCGGCUAACUACGUGCCAGCAGCCGCGGUAAUACGUAGGGAGCGAGCGUUGUCCGGAUUUACUGGGUGUAAAGGGUGCGCAGGCGGCUCUGCAAGUCAGGCGUGAAAGCUAGGGGCUCAACCCCUAAACUGCUUUGGAAACUGCCAUGCUAGAGUGCUGGAGAGGU